RNAcentral lists this ribosomal RNA (250 nucleotides) under uncultured bacterium. Its description in RNAcentral is "partial 16S ribosomal RNA". It matches the Rfam family "Bacterial small subunit ribosomal RNA", at positions 83 to 334 of the family's 1533-position model. The record is from RNAcentral.
CUCCGCCGGCGACCGGCGCACGGGUGCGUAACGCGUAUGCAACCUACCUUUAACAGGGGCAUAACACUGAGAAAUUGGUACUAAUUCCCCAUAACAUUCGAGAAGGCAUCUUCUUGGGUCAAAAACUCCGGUGGUUAAAGAUGGGCAUGCGUUGUAUUAGCUAGUUGGUGAGGUAACGGCUCACCAAGGCAACGAUACAUAGGGGGACUGAGAGGUUAACCCCCCACAUUGGUACUGAGACACGGACCAA